Long non-coding RNA from Cervus elaphus (red deer), 530 nucleotides. RefSeq lists it as uncharacterized. Lineage: Eukaryota; Metazoa; Chordata; Mammalia; Artiodactyla; Cervidae. The record is from RefSeq and is a predicted model, not a curated record. The transcript is spliced from 3 exons.
UACUCCAGGGGAUCUUCCCGACCCAAGGGUUGAACCCGCGUCUGUUACUUAUCCUGUAUUGGCAGGUGGAUUCUUUACCACUGUGCCACUCCUGUUUGGUGACCUCCAACUAGGAGCAAAUGGGUAGAAUUCACGAUCCAGAAGAAGAGCUCGAAAGAGAAGUAUGGACUUGGGAACAGAAGGGCCUAAUUGAAUUACAGCUCUGUGGGUAUCUCUUGAAAUCAAGAUAUUGUAUAUUAUAAAUAUUAUAUCACUUCAUGUAUAAGAUUCCACAGGUUCUCCGGGAGAAAAUGCCCACAUGGAGUUUCUGCAGGUUCCAGAGCCCAGAAGCCACAGGGUCCCCAGGGACAAAUCCAGGACAAGCCACAAGCAUGCCAAAACGGUGUGACACACAGCGGUGUGUAUACUGUCAGCACUGCUUUCUCAAUUCCUCCCACUCUCUCCUUCCACCGCUGUGUCCACAAAUCCAUUCUCUAGGUCUGCACUGGCACAAGAGGGAGGGGAUAUAUACGUAGUUCUGACUGAUCCAU